UACGGAGGGUGCGAGCGUUGUCCGGAAUCAUUGGGCGUAAAGGGCGCGUAGGUGGCCCGGUCAGCGUGCGGUGAAAGCUCGGGGCUCAACCCCGAGUCGGCCGUGCGAACUGCUGGGCUUGAGCACUGUAGAGGCAGGCGGAAUUCCGGGUGUAGCGGUGGAAUGCGUAGAGAUCCGGAAGAACACCGGUGGCGAAGGCAGGUCUCUGGGCCAUAACUGACGCUGAGAAGCGAAAGCAUGGGGAGCGAACAGG
RNAcentral lists this ribosomal RNA (253 nucleotides) under uncultured bacterium. Its description in RNAcentral is "partial 16S ribosomal RNA". It matches the Rfam family "Bacterial small subunit ribosomal RNA", at positions 524 to 776 of the family's 1533-position model. The record is from RNAcentral.